AAAUCAAAUCACUUCAUCUCACUGAGACUAAAAUGACCAAAUAUGCAGAAAACUCACCUCCAAGGUCUGCUUACUUCAUCAGGUCUUUGUGACCUAAGCCCCCUAGACAGUAUAUAAGGGGGUGCCCAGGCUCAGUCUGCCACUGCUGUGGUUAAGAGUAAUCCUGCAAUGGUGGUGUACAAUACAGACAGGGUCAAAAACCCUGUAAUAUGCUGAAGCUGAAUUCAAUCAAGGCUUCGAAACCCUGAGAGGGAAGGGGAAUGAAACUGCCUCCAGCAACACCCUCACCAUGAGAGCAAAAUGGAGGAAGAAAAGAAUGCGUCGACUCAAAAGGAAGAGAAGAAAAAUGAGACAACGGUCAAAGUGACCGAGCCAAGUUCACUUAUCUUAGUUAGGAUGCUUUAGAUUUUAGCAUUGUAAACUGGACCAACGAAUUUCAUUUCCUUUAAUG
RNAcentral lists this long non-coding RNA (451 nucleotides) under Monodelphis domestica (gray short-tailed opossum). RNAcentral's name for it is "lncRNA (ENSMODG00000037501.1)". Lineage: Eukaryota; Metazoa; Chordata; Mammalia; Didelphimorphia; Didelphidae. The record is from RNAcentral.